This 484-nucleotide ribosomal RNA is filed under the name uncultured bacterium. Its description in RNAcentral is "partial 16S ribosomal RNA". It matches the Rfam family "Bacterial small subunit ribosomal RNA", at positions 30 to 507 of the family's 1533-position model. The record is from RNAcentral.
AUUGAACGCUGGCGGCAGGCCUAACACAUGCAAGUCGAGCGGAUGAAGGGAGCUUGCUCCUGGAUUCAGCGGCGGACGGGUGAGUAAUGCCUAGGAAUCUGCCCGGUAGUGGGGGAUAACGUCCGGAAACGGGCGCUAAUACCGCAUACGUCCUGAGGGAGAAAGUGGGGGAUCUUCGGACCUCACGCUAUCAGAUGAGCCUAGGUCGGAUUAGCUAGUUGGUGGGGUAAAGGCCUACCAAGGCGACGAUCCGUAACUGGUCUGAGAGGAUGAUCAGUCACACUGGAACUGAGACACGGUCCAGACUCCUACGGGAGGCAGCAGUGGGGAAUAUUGGACAAUGGGCGAAAGCCUGAUCCAGCCAUGCCGCGUGUGUGAAGAAGGUCUUCGGAUUGUAAAGCACUUUAAGUUGGGAGGAAGGGCAGUAAGUUAAUACCUUGCUGCUUUGACGUUACCAACAGAAUAAGCACCGGCUAACUUCGUG